This 1065-nucleotide ribosomal RNA is filed under the name Triticum aestivum (bread wheat). RNAcentral describes it as "partial small subunit ribosomal RNA". Lineage: Eukaryota; Viridiplantae; Streptophyta; Magnoliopsida; Poales; Poaceae. The record is from RNAcentral.
AUGCACGCUGCUAUGUUCGGCCUGAACGCCACCAUGUGCUUCGGCGAUGCCGUGGACGCAGGCCUAGUCUGCGCCAUGGCCGACAACAUGGAGGAGCUCAUCUGGUCCCUCGUUGGGGUGCGUGUCUUCGCAGCACUCCCGGCGUUGACCAGCUUAAUCUACCGCGAACGGUGGAACAAGCUGCUCGCGCUCAGGCGGCAGCAGGAGGAGCUGUACCUCCCGCUCAUCAAUGCGCGACGCGGCCGGCGGCGUCGACCGUCCGGCGAAGCCCCAGCAUAUGUGGACACACUCAUCGACCUCCUGGUCGCAGACGAAAGCUACUCCGCCUACGGUAGGAAUGCUCCCAGUCGCAAGCAAACGCUAACGGACGGUGAGCUCGUGGGGCUCUGCUCCGAGUUUCUUGGCGCCGGCACGGAGCCCCCGACCGCGGAGCUGCAGUGGAUCAUGGCGAACUUGGUGAAGCAUCUAAACGUCCAGGAGAACGUCCGGAGAGAGAUCGAGGCUGUCGUUGGGGUGGACGCGAAGGAGGUCGGCGAGGAAGACCUUGGUAGGCUGGAGUACCUCAAUGCUGUCCUCAUGGAGGCGCUCCGUCUGCACCCCAGCGUGCCCACUGUGGUUAGGCAGGUGAUGCCUGAGGACCACGUCGUUUUGGAUGGCCAGCGCGUCACGGCGGGGACGAUCGUGCAGUUCCAGUUGGAGGGUCUGGGGCGGGACAAGACGUCGUGGGCUGACCCAGAUGAGUUUCAGCCGGAGCGGUUCCUGGCUAGCGGCGGGGGCAACGGCGUGAGCCUUGUGGCGGCUGCAGGAAGCGCCGGAGAAAUUAGGAUGAUGCCGUUUGGUGCGGGCAGGAGGAUGUGCCCUGGCAUGGGUGUCGCGAUGCUUCACCUGGGGUACUUCGUUGCAAACCUCGUGAGGGAGUUUGAGUGGACGGAGGUGGAAGGCGACAUGGCUGUCGACCUCGAGCCACAUGUCGAGUUCUUGAACUUCAUGAAACGGCCACUGCGUGCUAAGCUCACGCCACGUAAUAAGGGGGUUGGAACUUUAGGAGCCUUUUCAGACCGAUGA